RNAcentral lists this ribosomal RNA (460 nucleotides) under uncultured bacterium. RNAcentral's name for it is "partial 16S ribosomal RNA". It matches the Rfam family "Bacterial small subunit ribosomal RNA", at positions 338 to 795 of the family's 1533-position model. The record is from RNAcentral.
CCUACGGGAGGCAGCAGUGAGGAAUAUUGGUCAAUGGACGAGAGUCUGAACCAGCCAAGUAGCGUGAAGGAUGAAUGCCCUAUGGGUUGUAAACUUCUUUUAUAUGGGAAUAAAAUAUUCAACGUGUGGGAAUUGGUAAGUACCAUAUGAAUAAGGAUCGGCUAACUCCGUGCCAGCAGCCGAGGUAAUACGGAGGAUCCGAGCGUUAUCCGGAUUUAUUGGGUUUAAAGGGAGCGUAGGUGGAUUGUUAAGUCAGUUGUGCAAGUUUGCGGCUCAACCGGAAAAUUGCAGUUGAAACUGGCAGUCUUGAGUACAGUAGAGGUGGGCGGAAUUCGUGGUGUAGCGGUGAAAUGCUUAGAUAUCACGAAGAACUCCGAUUGCGAAGGCAGUUCACUGGACUGCAACUGACACUGAGGCUCGAAAGUGUGGGUAUCAAACAUGAUUAGAUACCCGGGUAGUC